This 407-nucleotide ribosomal RNA is filed under the name uncultured bacterium. RNAcentral describes it as "partial 16S ribosomal RNA". It matches the Rfam family "Bacterial small subunit ribosomal RNA", at positions 28 to 526 of the family's 1533-position model. The record is from RNAcentral.
GACGAACGCUGGCGGCGUGCCUAAUACAUGCAAGUAGAACGCAGUUGCGAACGGGUGAGUAACGCGUAGGUAACUGCCUGGUAGCGGGGGAUAACUAUUGGAAACGAUAGCUAAUACCGCCUACUACCAGAUGGACCUGCGUUGUAUUAGCUAGUUGGUGAGGUAACGGCUCACCAAGGCAACGAUACAUAAGCGAGCUGGAGGGGUGAUCGGGCAAAACUGGACUGGGAAAAGGCACAGAAGCCUAAGGGAGGGAGCAGGAGGGAAAAAUCGGCAAUGGGGGGAAAGCUGAACGAGGAACGGCGCGGGAGUGAAGAAGGGUUUCGGAGCGGAAAGCUCCGUUGUGAAGGAAGCGGUACUUAACCAGAAAGGGCCGGCUAACUACGUGCCAGCAGCCGCGGUAAUUC